Long non-coding RNA from Haliotis rufescens (red abalone), 996 nucleotides. RefSeq lists it as uncharacterized. The transcript has 3 exons. NCBI's taxonomy places the organism in Eukaryota, Metazoa, Mollusca, Gastropoda, Lepetellida, Haliotidae. The record is from RefSeq and is a predicted model, not a curated record.
ACAGGGUAUAAAUACAGUAGCAGCGACUGCUUGCUCCAGAUAAAUCCAUAAGUAUUGACUCGUCUGCCGGCUGUAGGAGACUUGCCACAUCUGUGACUAGUAUCCGUGUCGUCCCCGGUAUCUGUGGCGAGACACACCGUCACAGACGUCGCCGUCCGAUGAGGCAUCGAAAAUGUAGGACCUAUGGCUAGAAAGAUAAGGACGGAUGACACCCCCGCGUCGUACACCUAUUGAUAGAAGGAAGUUAGAAGCGACACCUCCGACACGCUAAGUGAAAAUGACAUCCGGUACUACUACUUCCGGUCCCACUACACCGCAGGUUUUCACCAUCUUCACGUUACCGUCGUAUGAAGACGCUGUCAAGAGCUCAGGCGAGCCCCCUUCAUAUGAACAAGCCUUAACGCAUCCGAGAGUUGAUCAUCUGGAGCAUGACGUCAACCCGCAUGUUCCUCCCAACGUGGUGGCCCCUACUUACACGCCGAAUCAAAUCAACAUCCAGCCCUAUCACCAGAGUGCCUGUCGCCGCAAGUUCUACCGCUCGCUGUGCUGGGUCGUUGCUGGGGCAGUGAUUUUGUUGUUAGGAUACAUCAUUUAUAUAGGAAUAUGGAGGAAUAUAAACACGGAGACGAAAACGUGACACGUGACUUCAUCAACACCAUAUUACUUGGUACAUGUGGCAGUAUGGAUGUUCAGUCUGACUGGGAUACUGUCUGCAGGAUCUGCGCAUCAAAUGGUUUUCAAAAACACCUUUCAGCUCAAGCAAUGACAGUUCACUGAGUGCCUUGCAAGUGUUCUGUUAAUGAUCAAGCAGACAUAAUACUGUCUGUAGAAUAUCUCUGAAUAUGGAUCUUCUUGGAAUUUAGUACUUGUCCCCGUUCCACAAAGCGAUCGCAGCGCUACGACAGUCGUAAGUCUGUGUUAAAAUAUGGGAGUUACGAUCACCUUAGCGCUACGACAGUCGUAAGUCUGUGUUAAAAUAUGGAGUUACGAUCACCU